This 789-nucleotide ribosomal RNA is filed under the name uncultured archaeon. RNAcentral's name for it is "bacterial SSU rRNA". It matches the Rfam family "Archaeal small subunit ribosomal RNA", at positions 85 to 879 of the family's 1478-position model. The record is from RNAcentral.
ACUGCUCAGUAACACGUGGAUAACCUGCCCUAAGGAAGGGGAUAACCCCGGGAAACUGGGGAUAAUACCCUAUAGGUUAUAGAUGCUGGAAUGCUCUGUAACUCAAAGUUCCGGCGCCUUAGGAUGGAUCUGCGGCCGAUUAGGUUGUUGUUGGGGUAAUGGCCCAACAAGCCUGUAAUCGGUACGGGUUGUGGGAGCAAGAGCCCGGAGUUGGAUUCUGAGACACGAAUCCAGGCCCUACGGGGCGCAGCAGGCGCGAAAACUUUACAAUGCGGGCAACCGUGAUAAGGGAACCUCGAGUGCCUGUAUAUGCAGGCUGUCCAGGUGUCUAAAACACACCUGAAGAAAGGGCCGGGCAAGACCGGUGCCAGCCGCCGCGGUAAUACCGGCGGCUCGAGUGGUGGCCACUUUUAUUGGGCUUAAAGCGUUCGUAGCUGGGUUGUUAAGUCUCUUGGGAAAUCUGGCGGCUUAACCGUCAGGCGUCUAAAGGAUACUGGCAAUCUUGGAACCGGGAGAGGUGAGGGGUACUUCGGGGGUAGGAGUGAAAUCCUGUAAUCCUCGAGGGACCACCUGUGGCGAAGGCGCCUCACCAGAACGGCUUCGACAGUGAGGGACGAAAGCUGGGGGAGCAAACCGGAUUAGAUACCCGGGUAGUCCCAGCCGUAAACGAUGUGCGUUAGGUGUAUCGACGACCACGAGUCGUCGAGGUGCCGAAGGGAAACCGUGAAACGUACCGCCUGGGAAGUACGGUCGCAAGGCUGAAACUUAAAGGAAUUGGCGGGGGAGCAC